CCUACGGGUGGCAGCAGUGAGGAAUAUUGGUCAAUGGACGCAAGUCUGAACCAGCCAUGCCGCGUGCAGGAAGACGGCUCUAUGAGUUGUAAACCGCUUUUGUACGAGGGUAAACGCAGAUACGUGUAUCUGUCUGAAAGUAUCGUACGAAUAAGGAUCGGCUAACUCCGUGCCAGCAGCCGCGGUAAUACGGAGGGUUCAAGCGUUAUCCGGAUUUAUUGGGUUUAAAGGGUGCGUAGGCGGUCGGAUAAGGUAGAGGUGAAAUCCCGAGGCUCAACUUCGGAAUUGCCUCUGAUACUGGUCGGCUUGAGAGUAGUUGCGGUAGGCGGAAGGUAUGGUGUAGCGGUGAAAUGCUUAGAGAUCAUACAGAACACCGAUUGCGAAGGCAGCUUACCAAGCUACGACUGACGUUGAGGCACGAAAGCGUGGGGAGCAAACAGGAUUAGAUACCCGAGUAGUC
This 460-nucleotide ribosomal RNA is filed under the name uncultured bacterium. RNAcentral's name for it is "partial 16S ribosomal RNA". It matches the Rfam family "Bacterial small subunit ribosomal RNA", at positions 338 to 795 of the family's 1533-position model. The record is from RNAcentral.